Lactuca sativa (garden lettuce) is the source of this 521-nucleotide non-coding RNA. The record is from RefSeq and is a predicted model, not a curated record. NCBI's taxonomy places the organism in Eukaryota, Viridiplantae, Streptophyta, Magnoliopsida, Asterales, Asteraceae.
GGUUGAUUUGACAGAGGGAAGAUAUUUGUUAUCUGGAGCAUUUGAUGCAUCACUUACUGUCUAUGAUAUCCAACGUGCAAGAGACUAUGAGGGAGGUGGUCUGAUUGCUAAGCAUAAGCCCAUACUUCAUGUCGAUAAGCAGCAUCAAAAUGGUCUCAAAUAUGCCAUAUCCAUAACCAUAUGGUAUCCAAAUGAUACAGGUCUUUUUGUCACAAGCUCAUUUAAUCACCACAUCAAUGUUUGGGAUACCAACACCUCACAGGUGCUGAUGGAUUUUAAGAUGCUAGGAAAGGUUUACAAGACAGCUAUGUCUUCAUUAGGAAUAUGAUGAAUCAAACAUGGGAUAAGAUUAGGGAAGUAACUGAUGGGCCUGAUGAUGGCAAUGGCAUGAAGCGCCCCGUUUUUGAUGGAGUACAAUAUGAUUAUGGUGAGCCUUUUGACUUUUGACUUUAUUUCCUAUGCUUCUUUUUUUAUUCAUUUAUACUAAUACCACAAAAACUUGUAAAUCAGAGUUUGACGUG